UCCCGCUUAGCUCAGUGGUAGAGCGCAUCACUAGUAUUACUCAAGCAGCUGCUUAAGUAAAUCAAUGAUGAGGUCAAUAGUUCAAGUCUGUUAGUGGGAA
Non-coding RNA from Ceratobasidium sp. AG-I, 100 nucleotides. The record is from the annotation of a GenBank genome assembly. Lineage: Eukaryota; Fungi; Basidiomycota; Agaricomycetes; Cantharellales; Ceratobasidiaceae.